UGGCGAGUAGCACAGCGGUAGUGUCCCCGGCUGUUACCCGGGUGGUCGUUGGUUCGAAUCCAGCCUCGCCAGCCA
This 75-nucleotide transfer RNA is filed under the name Stutzerimonas stutzeri. RNAcentral describes it as "Pseudomonas stutzeri tRNA-Asn". It matches the Rfam family "tRNA". Rfam says of the family: Transfer RNA (tRNA) molecules are approximately 80 nucleotides in length. Their secondary structure includes four short double-helical elements and three loops (D, anti-codon, and T loops). Lineage: Bacteria; Pseudomonadati; Pseudomonadota; Gammaproteobacteria; Pseudomonadales; Pseudomonadaceae. The record is from RNAcentral.